GGGAGACCUCUUUUUCGGUGGAUCCGUUCAAGCUAGUCUCUUUUUCGUUGGAUUCAUUCAAGCUAGUCUCCGGCUGAGGGCUUGGUUCAGGGGUGUUGUGAUUCGAUGAAGAAUCAUUUUCUGAUGAAGAAAAGAAUCUAAUCUUUGACGGAACAACUGUGCGAUGAAUGAUUUUACUGCUACUGGUGCUGCUGUUGAAAUAAUUUGGAUUUGACUUGAAGUUUUGAGAGAGAUGGAAAUUGCGGGAGCACAGAGAUAGAGCUCGUC
This 267-nucleotide unclassified non-coding RNA is filed under the name Hevea brasiliensis (rubber tree). The record is from RNAcentral. Lineage: Eukaryota; Viridiplantae; Streptophyta; Magnoliopsida; Malpighiales; Euphorbiaceae.